CGAGGCGGACGGGUGACCGCCGACCUAAUAAGCGGUUGGAGGAAAGUCCGGGCUCCAAAGAGCAGGGCGCUGGGUAACACCCAGUCGGGGCGACCCGAAGGAAAGUGCCACAGAAAUUACACCACCGGUAGGGCGUGUCUCCGGAGACGCACUGUCAGGUAAGGGUGAAAUGGUGGGGUAAGAGCCCACCGGCGGCCGGGUGACCGGCCGGCCAGGCAAACCCCGCCCGGAGCAAGACCAAAUAGGAGGGCGUUCACGGCGGCUCGCCGAGCCCACGGGUUUCGGUCGCUAGAGGCGCCGGGCAACCGGCGUCCCAGACAGAUGGUCACCGUCCCGCAAGGGACACAGAACCCGGCUUACAGUUCGCUCUCGGCCC
RNAcentral lists this RNase P RNA (376 nucleotides) under Candidatus Dormiibacterota bacterium. RNAcentral's name for it is "RNase P RNA component class A". It matches the Rfam family "Bacterial RNase P class A". Rfam says of the family: Ribonuclease P (RNase P) is a ubiquitous endoribonuclease, found in archaea, bacteria and eukarya as well as chloroplasts and mitochondria. Its best characterised activity is the generation of mature 5'-ends of tRNAs by cleaving the 5'-leader elements of precursor-tRNAs. Cellular RNase Ps are ribonucleoproteins. The record is from RNAcentral. Lineage: Bacteria; Bacillati; Candidatus Dormiibacterota.